GGGGUUGUGUCUCAGUGGUAGAGUGCUCACCUUGUAUGGGUGAGGCACUGGGUUUGAUCCUCAACACCA
RNAcentral lists this transfer RNA (69 nucleotides) under Marmota monax (woodchuck). Its description in RNAcentral is "tRNA.Thr". The record is from RNAcentral. Lineage: Eukaryota; Metazoa; Chordata; Mammalia; Rodentia; Sciuridae.